GACGGAGGGUGCAAGCGUUGCUCGGAAUCACUGGGCGUAAAGGGCUCGUAGGUGGCCAACUAAGUCAGACGUGAAAUCCCUCGGCUUAACCGGGGAACUGCGUCUGAUACUGGAUGGCUUGGAUUCGGGAGAGGAAUGCGGAAUUCCAGGUGUAGCGGUGAAAUGCGUAGAUAUCUGGAGGAACACCGGUGGCGAAGGCGGCAUCCUGGACCGACACUGACGCUGAGGAGCGAAAGCCAGGGGAGCAAACGGG
RNAcentral lists this ribosomal RNA (253 nucleotides) under uncultured bacterium. Its description in RNAcentral is "partial 16S ribosomal RNA". It matches the Rfam family "Bacterial small subunit ribosomal RNA", at positions 524 to 776 of the family's 1533-position model. The record is from RNAcentral.